Molecule: ribosomal RNA, 443 nt
Filed under: uncultured bacterium
Lineage: Bacteria
Description: partial 16S ribosomal RNA
Rfam family: Bacterial small subunit ribosomal RNA
Source: RNAcentral
GAUGAACGCUGGCGGCAUGCCUAACACAUACAAGUCGAUCGGUAAGGCUCUUCGGAGUACACGAGAGGCGGACGGCUGAGUAACGCGUAGGAACACACCCUGCAGUGAGGGAUAAGACACCGAAAGGUGUUCUAAUACCGCAUACGGUCUUCGGAUUAAAGCAUUUAUGCGCUGAAGGAGUGGCCUGCGUCAUAUUAGAUAGUUGGUGAGGUAAUGGCUCACCAAGUCGAUGAUGUGUAGCUGGUCUGAGAGGAUGAUCAGCCAGACUGGAACUGAGACACGGUCCAGACUCCUACGGGAGGCAGCAGUGAGGAAUAUUUCACAAUGAGCGAAAGCUUGAUGGAGCAAUGCCGCGUGCAGGAUGAAGGCCCUCGGGUUGUAAACUGCUUUUAUAAGAGAAGAUUAUGACGGUAACUUAUGAAUAAGGGACGGCUAACUACGUG